AACGAACGCUGGCGGCAUGCCUAACACAUGCAAGUCGAACGAGACCUUCGGGUCUAGUGGCGCACGGGUGCGUAACGCGUGGGAAUCUGCCCUUGGGUUCGGAAUAACAGUUGGAAACGACUGCUAAUACCGGAUGAUGACGUAAGUCCAAAGAUUUAUCGCCCAAGGAUGAGCCCGCGUAGGAUUAGCUAGUUGGUGAGGUAAAGGCUCACCAAGGCGACGAUCCUUAGCUGGUCUGAGAGGAUGAUCAGCCACACUGGGACUGAGACACGGCCCAGACUCCUACGGGAGGCAGCAGUGGGGAAUAUUGGACAAUGGGCGAAAGCCUGAUCCAGCAAUGCCACGUGAGUGAUGAAGGCCUUAGGGUUGUAAAGCUCUUUUACCCGGGAUGAUAAUGACAGUACCGGGAGAAUAAGCGCCGGCUAACUCCGUG
Molecule: ribosomal RNA, 433 nt
Filed under: uncultured bacterium
Lineage: Bacteria
Description: partial 16S ribosomal RNA
Rfam family: Bacterial small subunit ribosomal RNA
Source: RNAcentral